This 77-nucleotide transfer RNA is filed under the name Brevibacterium sp. RNAcentral describes it as "tRNA-Leu". It matches the Rfam family "tRNA". From Rfam's summary of the family: Transfer RNA (tRNA) molecules are approximately 80 nucleotides in length. Their secondary structure includes four short double-helical elements and three loops (D, anti-codon, and T loops). The record is from RNAcentral. RNAcentral also lists the same sequence under 3 other names. Lineage: Bacteria; Bacillati; Actinomycetota; Actinomycetes; Micrococcales; Brevibacteriaceae.
CCCCCUAUAGCCCAAUCGGCAGAGGCAGUCGACUUAAAAUCGAUCAAGUGUGGGUUCGAGUCCCACUGGGGGGACCA